UUGCGAUCUUCUUCGGACGCCACCAAUCCUCGCCUCCAGACCGCUGGACAGAACAGAAUCAACUCGCAUCGCGUUGUGUUCAAAAUCCCGCCAAGUCUCCAAGACUCCAACCUCGCACGCAACGAAAUCAGAAACCCGUCGAAAAAUUACAAUAGUGAUCGUUUCAAUAGUGAUCGUUUCCUUGCAGAGUUGCAGUUUCGAUUAAGGAAAUGAGAAUUCUGAAUCCGAUCACAACACUGAUAAAAACGAAGGCGAUGGGUUUCGAUUAACGAAUUUCUCUUAAAUAUUGGAUUCUUGGGGUUUAUUAGGGUUUUGAUUUUGUCCAUUCCAGAAGAAGAAAGAGAUGAAUUUGGGGGAUUUACAUAAAGUAUGGGAAAUCGAAGCCCUAAAGAAACCAGGAGAAGAAGAAGCUAAGAAGAUGCUCGAGAAACUAGCCAAACAGGUUCAACCCAUUAUGCGUAAGCACAAAUGGAGUGUCAAGCUCCUCUCCGAAUUUUGGUACUUGAAUUUUCCUCUUCUUUGUAUUGUUUUUUUUAAUUUUGUUUUGGAUAUUGUAAGCGUAAAGCUUGGUACUUUUUACUACCCAAAUUAACUAAACAAUCAUCUCAUAUGUAUACCGUUUAAGCUAAUUUUUGUUUUGUUUUACUCUUUUUGUUGUUUCCACUGCAAAUUUCUUGAUGAAAAUAUUUAUGGAAAUGGAACUGAAGUCCAAACAACCCAGCACUUCUGGGAUUGAAUGUAGGAGGUGGAGUGCAUGUAAAACUGAGGCUUCGAAGGCCAAACAGAGACUGGGAUUUCUUUCCAUUUGAUCAGGUUCUGGAUACGAUCCUUCAUGAACUAUGCCAUAAUGUUCAUGGUCCUCACAACGCCAAUUUCUACAAGCUUUGGGAUGAGUUGAGAAAGGAAUGUGAGGAGUUGCUUUCCAAGGGAAUAACCGGCACGGGGGAGGGGUUUGAUCUGCCAGGGAGGCGUUUGGGUGGGUUUUCCCGCCAUCCUCCUCCUUCAUCUCUUCGUAAAGCUGCCUUAGAUGCUGCAGAAAAGAGAGCAAAAUUGGGAUCUAUGCUACCAUCUGGACCUAAACGGCUUGGUGGUGAUACCACCAUUAUGGUUGCACUCAGUCCAAUACAAGCUGCAGCAAUGGCUGCAGAAAGGAGAUUACAGGAUGAGAUUUGGUGUGGUUCUCAGUCUGCUGAGGUUUUUGAGGAAGGAGAAAGUAGCAAUGAUGUCACAAAAGACCUUUUAGAUGUGGGCCAAAGUACAGGAUGCUCUAGGCCAGAUAAUGGUAAAAAAUGAAAUCGUCAAUCAAAUAACAGUACAACUUUCUAUCUUUUAAUUGUCAUUUAGGGUCCAAUAUUGUGUAUUUGUCUACAGAUGUUUCAACUUCUUGUUCAAUUCUUGACCAUGACUCCAUCACUAAAAAGAGAUUUUCUAACUCAUAUGAAAAUUCACCUUCUGAUUCUAGUUUUGUGGAUUUAACAGUUGGUUCAUCUUUAGGGUCCAAACUUAAUCAUGACAAGGUACAUAAUGCAGAGGAACAUGCCAUGUGGGAGUGUGGAGUAUGCACAUUAUUGAAUCCAGUAAGUGAUUGGUUCAAAUUAAUUUUAUUUACUUAAUUUAUGGAUAAAACAUCAUUUGUUGGGCAUACGCAGAGGCUAUAUUUUCAUUUGAAUGUAAGAUGAGCACAUUUUGGAGUUGCCUAACGUAACUGUAGAUCUGGUUUUUAACUUUUUAUAGCUACACAUUUUGGCUGCUUAUCCUUGUUUCUUGUGGGUAUGUGAGAAGUUUUAUUUGUUCAUUUUUUGAAGAUGCUUACACUUGACAGUUGACAGUGUUAUGCUUGAAACUGAAUUUUCACCCUUUUUUUCCCUUCUGAAUAGAUUACUUAUUACAAGAACAUAUUUGCAUGUGAAUAAUGCUGGGUUCAUGCAGUCAUUAGGCCCAAUCUGCAAGCUUUGCAGUACAGAAAGGCCCAAAGAUGUGAGCACCAAGUAUAAAACGUGGUCCUGCAAAUUCUGUACCUUGAAUAAUAGUGUGAAGUUGGACAAAUGCUCGGCUUGCAGUCAAUGGAGAUAUUCAUAUGGCCCUCCAGUGUCAACGCGCACACCCAAUCUUGGGACUUGACAGGUGCGAUCCAGAAGGUUUGCAAAAUGUGAAUUUCCCAAAAUGGACAUGGUAUAUGUUGUGUUCUCUCUCCCAUCUUUCUUAAUUACUCAAAUGGUGGUUUAAUAUUAUAACUUUCUCCCUUACUGUUGGUGUUAAUGAAUUGUUUAAAUGUAGUCUUGUUUGGCUGGGAAAAUAGUCUAGAUUUCCCAAAAUUAGUUGCUUUCUGUAAUACUGGCAGGAGUAAAGAGAAGGAUGCCAAUUGUGUUGCCUUGGUGUGCCAAAAGAUGAUGCUAGUUUAGAUUUGGGAGUGAUGGUUAUUUAGCCGCCUUUUUCAUAAGACCUUCAGAUGAUCCGAGAAUCAGUCCAUUUUUUAUAUAAUCCCAAAAAAUGAUUCGGAAGAUCCACUAGUUAAUUUUCAAUGUUAAGGACGACUUUUUAUUUUUUCACUCCGAUUGGGAAAAGAAAGACUGUUCCCUAACCAUAUUUGCACCCAAAAAAAAUUAUAACGUGAAUUUUGAACAACUAACACUUUCGAAAACACAAAUGCUAGAGUCGUCUGUGACGUCUUGAAUUAAAGUUGGAAGUCAAACGAACAAAAAUAGAAGCAGUUGACAAAAAAAUUCAACAAAAAAAGUUAACCAAUAGUGCAUUAAGAAA
This 2760-nucleotide unclassified non-coding RNA is filed under the name Hevea brasiliensis (rubber tree). The record is from RNAcentral. Lineage: Eukaryota; Viridiplantae; Streptophyta; Magnoliopsida; Malpighiales; Euphorbiaceae.